UGGCGUCCGUGAUGUUGCAGUUGUACCUACAUUGUUUGACCCUCAUGAGAACAGCCCUGGCUGAGACGCUG
Mustela putorius furo (domestic ferret) is the source of this 71-nucleotide small nucleolar RNA. Its record names the gene SNORD34. It matches the Rfam family "Small nucleolar RNA SNORD34". Rfam says of the family: snoRNA U34 is found in intron 5 of the ribosomal protein L13a gene in humans. NCBI's taxonomy places the organism in Eukaryota, Metazoa, Chordata, Mammalia, Carnivora, Mustelidae. The record is from Ensembl.